This is a long non-coding RNA of Heterocephalus glaber (naked mole-rat), 1673 nucleotides long. The record is from Ensembl. NCBI's taxonomy places the organism in Eukaryota, Metazoa, Chordata, Mammalia, Rodentia, Bathyergidae.
GGGGCCUGUUGGUCCCCUUGAGCUAAUGGCUGCCUGGAGGGGUGCGGACUAAACUGAGCUCCCUUAAGAAAAAGGAAGAGCCCCAUUCCAGGGCCCUUCAUUGUGGCUGACAUUGACACUGAGCUCUGACAGCACAGGAACCUGGCUGGGAGCCCUUGAGUCACGCGGCAUGUGUCACUUCGGUGCAUGGACCAGAGGUUGGUCUGGCCACCUUCCGCCUCCUUCUCAGGAGGGUUGCCCUGCUGCCUUCUGCCUCUGGGGCUUCCUCUCAGCCUGGGAAGGCCAAGGACCAGGACACACUGCUGGGCGCGGGGCUCACUGGAGGCAGUGGAUUUGGCACACCAGUGCUUAGCCUUGGGAGGGGAGACAUGGACCACAUCCUGGGCAGAGCAGAAGGAUGGAAGCCAGGCUCCCUGAUGGCACCUGAGCCUUCUGAUCAGCUUGGGUGUCACCUCCUCUGCAUUUCUAGCACCUGGUCUACUCAGCCCUGGUGUCCCUCUGUCAUCAGAUGCCACUGAGGCAGGAAGAUCUGAGUUAGAAGGAGUCAUGAGGCCACCUGUCACAUCCAGGCAAGGACCCCAUUUAUACCCUAGCUGUGGCAGUCCCUUCUCUCCAGCCAUCCUUAGGCUGGAACUUGACAUCCUCCUGCCUCAGCCUCCCAGAGUGCUGGGAUUACAAGCAUGUGUGCCACCAUGCCCGGCAACUUCUCCUGUUUUAAUCUGCCAAGCUUCCCCCUUUUGUAAUUCUCCCUUUUUGUAAUUUGCAUUCUGGUUCUGGAGGGGAGGGGUGACCAAGUAACCCACCCUCUGGCCAUAGAGAUGCCAUCUGACUUUGGUCUGACCAGUCACAGUCCUCCAUUCCCUGGCACAGUGAUUGGCCCAGUGGCGGGACUGUAACACAGACUGGGCCAGUCAGAAUCUUUCCCUGGUCUUUAUUAUGUUAGCUAAUGGCCCUCGUCAGGUAGGAAGGCAGCACGUGGAGAGGAGAGUCAUCCUGAGAGGACAGGAGCUGGGCCCACUGUCCCUCUGCAUAGAGCCGUCCUGAGGGCUCCACACUGCUUCCCCAGCUGUUGGGGGGCUUUAGUGCCCUUGCCCAGCAACAAGGUCUCUGCAGUUGUCCUGAGCCUCAGGGACCAGCCUGGCCCCCGACUUUGUCUCCUCUCCCCUGGAGAUGGCAGAGGUCUGGAACAUGACUGGCUGUAGGAAGAGCAGGCUGCUUAGUUUCCCCAAGCUGGCACCUGUGGUCAGAAAGGUGGCAUCCUGAGGGCUCUGUGUGCUCUGGGUGCCAGAAUAGGGGAUGCCCCCGAAUAUGGGGGCCAAUGGAGAUUAGGGAAGAAGUGGGUCUGACCCCCCUCGCACACUGGCUCCUGGCUCAGUGCCUUGCUGUCCACGCAACGCUUCCCCGGCUUGGCCUCACCCCAGCCCUGUCUCUCCAUGCUGGGAAUGCCCAGCUCGGCAAGGACAGCUAGGUGAGGGUGGCCCUCAGCCUCCUGGGCACAGCACGGCAGACGACUGUGCCAACAUCAGAGGCACCAGAGGCACCUUAUGGCCCCAGGGGUCCACAGGAAGCUAAGGCCCAGAGAGUGGCAGGCCCACCCCACGGAAAAGCAGGAUGGGGCCCACCUGUAGGAGAGGGGAGGGGUUCCUGGUUUUCCCUGGAGGCUGCGCGUGAGC